AAGAGGAUAAACUUUGUUUACCUCUGUUCACCCUUGGCUACAGAUAAAUCCUCAGCAGGUGCCAAGCGUUACGGCUUCCUGAAUUGUAAUGAAACAAGAUGCAAAGCUUCUGCAAUCAGUUAUGACUCUCGAGAACUGGCGUUUCGGAGGCCUAUUUGCUCUGAAAGAAAGAUUGUAAAGCUAUUUGCUUUGUCUCUUAAUAGGCCAGAAGCAACAUCUCUACAUUCUUCUCUCGGAAGGAGUUGUUCCAUGGAGGUAUUUCACUCUUGGAAAUCCUGGCUGGGGCAAACACAGAAAUGUCCAGCCUACCUUGGCUAUCUGUCUUUGCUGCCUGGGGAUUGUGCCUGUGGCUGGUGCCCAAAACCUCAGCUGAAAUCUGUGUGCAAGAGGGGGAACACAACAGUUUAUUCAAGCUCCAUUGUCCCCACCAUCUUUCAUGUGUCUUUCACAUCAAGGUAAAAAGAGUCUCAUCAGUUUUCUUCUUUAUAACAAAGCAAAUAAUAUUCUGAAAGUUUGAGCAAUGCCUUUCAAUACAGGAACAGCUCCAGAAAUGUCCUACAAAAGCCAUUUUUCUAAUAGAGAAGGCUGCUACCUGACUGUUCUGUAACAAUCAAGGAAAUUCAUGAGUCCCUAUUUCCCCCUAGAAGACAUGAAGUCUCAGGAUCCCCUAAUAAAUUUCUUUCCAAUCAGGCCUGAAGAAAUCA
Molecule: long non-coding RNA, 704 nt
Filed under: Anser brachyrhynchus (Pink-footed goose)
Lineage: Eukaryota; Metazoa; Chordata; Aves; Anseriformes; Anatidae
Description: lncRNA (ENSABRG00000003070.1)
Source: RNAcentral